Biomphalaria pfeifferi is the source of this 421-nucleotide non-coding RNA. NCBI's taxonomy places the organism in Eukaryota, Metazoa, Mollusca, Gastropoda, Planorbidae. The record is from the annotation of a GenBank genome assembly.
GUUUUUUUAAAAAAUAUAAUUAGGGUCUAUUUUAAUAACCUAUUAUUGCACAACAUUAUUCUAGUAUAUUAAGUAUAAUAUAACAGUAAAAUAUUUGGUUAAAAAAUGGUAAUAUAUUGGGCCAAAACAGUUUCUGCUAUUUUAAAUUGCAGCCUACAGUUAAUAAAGAUCAGUGUCUAGAUUAAGCUAAGGAACCAUUAUUUAAUUUAAUCAAAAAUAGAAAGUCAAAUCCUGUAAGAUGUUAGUGAAAAAAAAGAGGUUUAGCAGGACUACAUCUACAAUGUUCACACAUUCAAUAAUACAUUGAGGGAAAUGGUGUGAUAAUAUUAGCAUUUAGAUUUCUUUUACAGCAAGAAAAUCACAUGACCAUUUAUUUACAGCAGUCUUUAUUAAUUCAAUCCUUUAAACAUAUUCUCAAAAA